UUUGAUCCUGGCUCAGGAUGAACGCUAGCGGCAGGCUUAACACAUGCAAGUCGAGGGGUAACAGGUCACUUCGGUGAUGCUGACGACCGGCGCACGGGUGAGUAACGCGUAUGGAGCCUACCUGAAACAGGGGGAUAGCUUCCGGAAACGGGGAUUAAUACCCCAUACGAUUCAUUUGUGGCCUCACAAAUGGAUAAAAGCUACGGCGGUUUCAGAUGGUCAUGCGUACCAUUAGUUAGUUGGUGAGGUAAAGGCUCACCAAGGCGAUGAUGGUUAGGGGUCCUGAGAGGGUAGUCCCCCACACUGGUACUGAGACACGGACCAGACUCCUACGGGAGGCAGCAGUGAGGAAUAUUGGUCAAUGGGCGCUAGCCUGAACCAGCCAUGCCGCGUGCAGGAAGACGGCCCUACGGGUUGUAAACUGCUUUUCUGCAGGAAGAAUAUAUAGUCUUAGGGCUAUAUUGACGGUACUGCAGGAAUAAGCAUCGGCUAACUCCGUGCCAGCAGCCGCGGUAAUACGGAGGAUGCAAGCGUUAUCCGGAUUCAUUGGGUUUAAAGGGUGCGCAGGCUGUAAAGCAAGUCAGUGGUGAAAGCCCUGGGCUUAACUCAGGGAUUGCCAUUGAAACUGUUUUACUAGAGUGUAGUAGAGGACGGCGGAAUGAGUUGUGUAGCGGUGAAAUGCAUAGAUAUAACUCAGAACACCUAUUGCGUAGGCAGCUGUCUAUACUACAACUGACGCUGAGGCACGAAAGCGUGGGGAGCGAACAGGAUUAGAUACCCUGGUAGUCCACGCUGUAAACGAUGAUCACUCGUUGUUGGCUACUUAGUGGUCAGUGACCAAGGGA
Molecule: ribosomal RNA, 845 nt
Filed under: uncultured organism
Description: bacterial SSU rRNA
Rfam family: Bacterial small subunit ribosomal RNA
Source: RNAcentral